UGAAAACCGGUCUCAGUUCGGAUCGCAGUCUGCAACUCGACUGCGUGAAGGUGGAGUCGCUAGUAAUCGCGGAUCAGCAACGCCGCGGUGAAUGCGUUCCCGGGUCUUGUACACACCGCCCGUCACACCAUGGGAGCCGGAAAUGCCCGAAGCCAGUGACCCAACCUUAGGGAGGGAGCUGUCGAAGGUGGAGCCGGUAACUGGGGUGAAGUCGUAACAAGGUAAC
Molecule: ribosomal RNA, 226 nt
Filed under: uncultured bacterium
Lineage: Bacteria
Description: partial 16S ribosomal RNA
Rfam family: Bacterial small subunit ribosomal RNA
Source: RNAcentral